This 456-nucleotide long non-coding RNA is filed under the name Sus scrofa (pig). RNAcentral's name for it is "lncRNA (ENSSSCG00070004207.1)". The record is from RNAcentral. Lineage: Eukaryota; Metazoa; Chordata; Mammalia; Artiodactyla; Suidae.
AUAUUGUUCGUUUGACUUUGAAACCUAAGCCAAGGUAUCCUGCAGAAGCCCCAAGAGCAUUUUGAGAACAUCAGUCAGUUCCUGGCUAGUCAGGCAUGCACAUUUUCUCUUCAAGGCACUUUUGAUAAACAAAGCAUCAAAGGCAAUAUACCAAAAGUACAUGAAAUUUUUAAUAUCUUGGAAAAAGUGGUUAAGAUAACUCACAAGGCAGGGGGAAGAGUGUGCUGGCUAUUCAAACGGUAUUUCAGAGCAUCCCUGACAUUGCCCUCUUGGACUUCGCAGAUCCUCCAAUAAACCAGUUCAGUUUUGUUCCUUCAUCUGAAUCUUUCCGCUUGGUAUUUGGUCUUUGCCCUUCACUCUUCUUGCUGUUCCCCAUCUGCAGAUGCCACUGGUAAGAUUCAUCUCAAACUAUGAGGUUAAGAUUUGGAUUCAGCUGUGAAACAUGCCUUCUGCAAA